RNAcentral lists this ribosomal RNA (497 nucleotides) under uncultured bacterium. RNAcentral's name for it is "partial 16S ribosomal RNA". It matches the Rfam family "Bacterial small subunit ribosomal RNA", at positions 28 to 507 of the family's 1533-position model. The record is from RNAcentral.
GAUGAACGCUGGCGGCGUGCCUAAUACAUGCAAGUCGAGCGAACAGACGAGGAGCUUGCUCCUCUGACGUUAGCGGCGGACGGGUGAGUAACACGUGGAUAACCUACCUAUAAGACUGGGAUAACUUCGGGAAACCGGAGCUAAUACCGGAUAAUAUAUUGAACCGCAUGGUUCAAUAGUGAAAGACGGUCUUGCUGUCACGUAUAGAUGGAUCCGCGCCGCAUUAGCUAGUUGGUAAGGUAACGGCUUACCAAGGCAACGAUGCGUAGCCGACCUGAGAGGGUGAUCGGCCACACUGGAACUGAGACACGGUCCAGACUCCUACGGGAGGCAGCAGUAGGGAAUCUUCCGCAAUGGGCGAAAGCUUGACGGAGCAACGCCGCGUGAGUGAUGAAGGUCUUCGGAUCGUAAAACUCUGUUAUUAGGGAAGAACAAAUGUGUAAGUAACUAUGCACGUCUUGACGGUACCUAAUCAGAAAGCCACGGCUAACUACGUG